UAAGGUGAUUAUAGUGCAGGAUAUCCACCUCUUCCCAUUCCGAACAGAGAAGUUAAAGCCUGUAACGCCAAUGGUACUAUGAAACAUGGGAGAGUAGGUAGUCGCCGUUU
This 110-nucleotide ribosomal RNA is filed under the name Dysgonomonas sp. GY617. Lineage: Bacteria; Pseudomonadati; Bacteroidota; Bacteroidia; Bacteroidales; Dysgonomonadaceae. The record is from RNAcentral.